UUAAAAAAAAAAAAAAAGAAAGACAGGACAAGAACAAAAACAAAAAAACAAAAAGAGUUGGCCAUUAGAUGAAAGCGAAAUAUAAGAGAAACUGACUAAAAAUGUGGUUUGAAAUGUUUCUAUCAAGGCUUCUAUACUUCCUCGGAGGAGCAGAAACCUUUGCCUUUCCUACUUUAAGUGUCUGAUGAACUUCUUCAAAACUCUCUUUGGAUCGGCCCUCUCCUCCUUCCCUCUUUUCCUACAUAUACCUCUUUUCACUAAUUCCAAACUCCUUCUCUCUUUCUUUCAGACACAUCCCAUAAAGAUAGAGACUCUUGACUUGUAGCUAGCUGAACAAAACCCCCAUUUGCUAAAAACCGAUCUCUUUUAUGGCUUCACUACUUGUCCCAUUGUCCAACAUCUCUCUACAAGUAAAGUUUGACACAAAAGUUUGACUAAGCAUAGCAUUUCUACUUGUUCUUUUAUCUUUUCUUGGGUCUUUGUUUGUUACAUGCUUAUCCAUAUAUCUAUAUGUAAUUUUCUUUUCUUUUUAUUUGGCUGUUAUUUAUUAUCCAACGCAGAGAAACUAUAAGGAGACAGAGCUGAAAGCAGGUUAAGAAAGGUCCAUUUUAAGUCUCUAGAGCCUAAGAGGGAUAAAAAAAGUAUAGUAUUCUUGGAAUAUCUUUGUCGUGCAAUGAUUUCGUCGCGCCCAUACAAAAAAAAAAAAAAAUAAAACCCUAACCCUAGUUUUGACAACACUCGGAUGCUUCUCUCCCAUAAGCCUUUGUCUUUUCGGAAGCAUCGCACGUGACUUGAAUAUUCACGUGCGGUGUAGAAGGAAACGUCUAGUCCAUGUUUUUACAUAUAUUUAAAGUAGAAGAAGAACAACAACAACAAGAAGGGUAAUACUAAAAAGUAGGCGACGGGGCAUUUCUAAAGUGGAUACGGAUCAUCAGGUAAAGAUGCUUUAAAGCAAUUGAUGUUUUCGUGUUGCUUAACAGCCGUAUUGGACCACGAAACUCAGCUUCUUUUUGUUUAUUUUUCAUUUUUUUUUACAUAAGAAAGAAUUAAAAAGAGAAAGAAAAGGAAAAGAGAGAGAUGGGUUUUCAUAAAAAAGACUUGUGUGCUUUGUUUAGUCUUUGAACGCACCUUUAAUUGUUGACAUUUCUUGAUGCUUCUUUAUGUAGAGCACUUUAUUGACGACGUACAAAACACUCAUUUAAUUAUCAAUAUUAAUAAUAUAAAGGUAUGCAAUAUUUAGAUAUACGAAAUAGGCCUGAGACUGAGGCAAAUAGAUUGGAAUUUCCAGAUUUUUAUAACUAAUUUUUUUUAGACUUUGUCUGGUUAAUUGCAGGCAGCCCAUGCACAUAUAGCCCUUAAACAAACUGGCAAAAAAAUUCCAAGUAGAAAGAAGAUGUAUAUAUAUUAUCGAGGCUGCAUUUGCCUGAACGACAAACCGUUUCAUGUUAUAAAUUACUAGUUUAAAUUACAUCCCAAGAGCUGCACCUGCUUCAGUGUGCUAUGGAAAUAGAAGAUGAAUUUGGGUUGCACAUGUUUUGGUUGCAGGGAGAUGAAAUAUAUGUGGACAACAUUUGUCCCCCUAGAUUUUCAUCUAGUAAUUCAGGUGAAAAAUGGACCUUUCUUAGGACAGAAAUAAAAAAUAUUCAUAAUUGAUUAUAAUUUGAUACAUCCAAAGGACAUAAUUAAGAAGCAAUGACCUAUGUCUUGUCUUAUAGCAUAGCCAUGUGGUAAUCUCUCCACUCCAUUGAAUAGAAUGAGAUUUGUCCUCUCUUUUUUUUUCUUUUAAAUUUAAUAAAGAUUUUCGAAUUAAUUUACGCUAAUUAAAAAAAAAAACAUGAGUUUUUUUUUUAAAAGGUAGUUAUUG
Molecule: unclassified non-coding RNA, 1864 nt
Filed under: Hevea brasiliensis (rubber tree)
Lineage: Eukaryota; Viridiplantae; Streptophyta; Magnoliopsida; Malpighiales; Euphorbiaceae
Source: RNAcentral